CUACGUGCCAGCAGCCGCGGUAAUACGUAGGUGGCAAGCGUUGUCCGGAAUUAUUGGGCGUAAAGCGCGCGCAGGCGGAUUGGUCAGUCUGUCUUAAAAGUUCGGGGCUUAACCCCGUGAUGGGAUGGAAACUGCCAAUCUAGAGUAUCGGAGAGGAAAGUGGAAUUCCUAGUGUAGCGGUGAAAUGCGUAGAUAUUAGGAAGAACACCAGUGGCGAAGGCGACUUUCUGGACGAAAACUGACGCUGAGGCGCGAAAGCCAGGGGAGCAAACGGGAUUAGAUACCCCGGUAGUCCUGGCCGUAAACGAUGGGUACUAGGUGUAGGAGGUAUCGACCCCUUCUGUGCCGGAGUUAACGCAAUAAGUACCCCGCCUGGGGAGUACGACCGCAAGGUUGAAACUCAAAGGAAUUGACGGGGGCCCGCACAAGCGGUGGAGUAUGUGGUUUAAUUCGACGCAACGCGAAGAACCUUACCAGGUCUUGACAU
This 487-nucleotide ribosomal RNA is filed under the name uncultured bacterium. Its description in RNAcentral is "bacterial SSU rRNA". It matches the Rfam family "Bacterial small subunit ribosomal RNA", at positions 501 to 987 of the family's 1533-position model. The record is from RNAcentral.